CUACGGGCGGCAGCAGUAGGGAAUCUUAGACAAUGGGAGAAACCCUGAUCUAGCCAUGCCGCGUGAGUGAUGAAGGCCUUAGGGUUGUAAAGCUCUUUCGCUGGGGAAGAUAAUGACGGUACCCAGUAAAGAAACCCCGGCUAACUCCGUGCCAGCAGCCGCGGUAAUACGGGAGGGGGUUAGCGUUGUUCGGAAUUACUGGGCGUAAAGCGCGCGUAGGCGGGCUAUUAAGUCAGGGGUGAAAUCCCGGGGCUCAACCCCGGAACUGCCUUUGAUACUGGUAGUCUUGAGUUCGAGAGAGGUGAGUGGAAUUCCGAGUGUAGAGGUGAAAUUCGUAGAUAUUCGGAGGAACAUCAGUGGCGAAGGCGACUCACUGGCUCGAUACUGACGCUGAGGUGCGAAAGUGUGGGGAGCAAACAGGAUUAGAUACCCCUGUAGUU
Molecule: ribosomal RNA, 440 nt
Filed under: uncultured bacterium
Lineage: Bacteria
Description: partial 16S ribosomal RNA
Rfam family: Bacterial small subunit ribosomal RNA
Source: RNAcentral